Molecule: transfer RNA, 92 nt
Filed under: Clostridia bacterium
Lineage: Bacteria; Bacillati; Bacillota; Clostridia
Description: tRNA-Ser
Rfam family: tRNA
About the family: Transfer RNA (tRNA) molecules are approximately 80 nucleotides in length. Their secondary structure includes four short double-helical elements and three loops (D, anti-codon, and T loops).
Source: RNAcentral
GGACAGGUAUCGAAGUGGUCAUAACGGGGCGCGCUCGAAACGCGUUUGUCGGUUACUCCGGCACGUGGGUUCGAAUCCCACCCUGUCCGCCA